RNAcentral lists this ribosomal RNA (537 nucleotides) under uncultured bacterium. RNAcentral describes it as "bacterial SSU rRNA". It matches the Rfam family "Bacterial small subunit ribosomal RNA", at positions 767 to 1308 of the family's 1533-position model. The record is from RNAcentral.
AGCUAAUAGAUACCCUGGUAGUCCACGCCCUAAACGAUGUCUACUAGUUGUUGGUGGAGUAAAAUCCAUGAGUAAACGCAGCUAACGCGUGAAGUAGACCGCCUGGGGAGUACGGUCGCAAGAUUAAAACUCAAAGGAAUUGACGGGGGCCCGCACAAGCGGUGGAUUAUGUGGAUUAAUUCGAUGCAACGCGAAAAACCUUACCUGGCCUUGACAUGCCACUAACGAAGCAGAGAUGCAUUAGGUGCCCGUAAGGGAAAGUGGACACAGGUGCUGCAUGGCUGCGUCAGCUCGUGUCGUGAGAUGUUGGGUUAAGUCCCGCAACGAGCGCAACCCUUGCCAUUAAUUGCCAUCAUUUAGUUGGGCACUUUAAUGGGACUGCCGGUGACAAACCGGAGGAAGGUGGGGGUGACGUCAAGUCCUCAUGGCCCUUAUGGCCAGGGCUUCACACGUAAUACAAUGGUCGGUACAGAGAGUUGCCAACCCGCGAGGGGAGCUAAUCUCAGAAAGCCGAUCGUAGUCCGGAUUGUUCUCUGC